This is a long non-coding RNA of Bos taurus (domestic cattle), 479 nucleotides long. The record is from Ensembl. NCBI's taxonomy places the organism in Eukaryota, Metazoa, Chordata, Mammalia, Artiodactyla, Bovidae.
GUGGGUUUUAAAGCAUAGGAAGGAUAUCAACAGAGCAAGCAGAAGAGAGCAUCUGUCUUCUGGCCAGAGGGAGCAGAGGCCGGGAGACAAGAAUUCUCAGGGAAUGCCCAGACCACAGUUCUAAGGGAUGUGCAUCUGAGAAGCAGAUGAUGGACUUCCCUGGUGGUCCAGUGGAAACUGGCAUCCAGACCCCAAGGUGAUUUUGAGACACUAGUCUACCAUCUUCUCUGCCAGCUUUCCGAAUGAAGUCACUAUUCUUUGCCUCAACACCUGUCUCCUGUCUUACUGGCUUGGCAUGGGGCAAGCAGAGCAAGCUUGGAUUCGGUACCAACAACAAAGAUACACACUCCUUUGGUUCAAGGUGGAUCCUCAUGUUUCUAACCUGUUCCCAUCUUGUGUCUUUGAAUCUGUGAGCGACCCUUUAAAUAGAAAAGACUUAAAGCAUUAGACCAUAUCGUAUGUAUUUUAAUAAUAAUUAU